This 439-nucleotide ribosomal RNA is filed under the name uncultured bacterium. RNAcentral describes it as "bacterial SSU rRNA". It matches the Rfam family "Bacterial small subunit ribosomal RNA", at positions 339 to 794 of the family's 1533-position model. The record is from RNAcentral.
CUACGGGAGGCAGCAGUGGGGAAUAUUGCGCAAUGGGGGAAACCCUGACGCAGCAACGCCGCGUGAGUGAAGAAGGCCUUCGGGUCGUAAAGCUCUGUCUUUGGGGACGAAUAAUGACGGUACCCAAGGAGGAAGCCACGGCUAACUACGUGCCAGCAGCCGCGGUAAUACGUAGGUGGCGAGCGUUGUCCGGAAUUACUGGGCGUAAAGGGUGCGUAGGCGGUUUCUUAAGUCAGAUGUGAAAUCCCAGGGCUCAACUCUGGAGUGGCAUUUGAAACUGGGGAGCUAGAGUGCAGGAGAGGAAAGCGGAAUUCCUAGUGUAGCGGUGAAAUGCGUAGAUAUUAGGAAGAACACCAGUGGCGAAGGCGGCUUUCUGGACUGUAACUGACGCUGAGGCACGAAAGCGUGGGGAGCAAACAGGAUUAGAUACCCCGGUAGC